GAUGAAGAACGCAGCGAAAUGCGAUAAGUAAUGUGAAUUGCAGAAUUCAGUGAAUCAUCGAAUCUUUGAACGCACAUUGCGCCCGCCAGCACUCUGGCGGGCAUGCCUGUUCGAGCGUCAUUUCAACCAUCAAGCCCUGCUUGUGUUGGGGUCCUGCGGCUGCCCGCAGGCCCUGAAAACCAGUGGCGGGCUCGCUAGUCACACCGAGCGCAGUAGCACAUCUCGCUCAGGGCGUGCGGCGGGCUCCAGCCGUUAAAGCACCCACCUUUCGCAAGGUUGACCUCGGAUCAGGUAGGAAUACCCGCUGAACUUAAGCAUAUCAAUAAGCGGAGGA
This 334-nucleotide unclassified non-coding RNA is filed under the name soil metagenome. RNAcentral's name for it is "partial contains 5.8S ribosomal RNA, internal transcribed spacer 2, and large subunit ribosomal RNA". The stretch from base 1 to 120 matches the Rfam family "5.8S ribosomal RNA", at positions 35 to 154 of the family's 154-position model. The record is from RNAcentral.